GAUGAACGCUGGCGGCGUGCCUAAUACAUGCAAGUCGAGCGAACAGACGAGGAGCUUGCUCCUCUGACGUUAGCGGCGGACGGGUGAGUAACAGGUGGAUAACCUACCUAUAAGACUGGGAUAACUUCGGGAAACCGGAGCUAAUACCGGAUAAUAUAUUGAACCGCAUGGUUCAAUAGUGAAAGACGGUUUUGCUGUCACUUAUAGAUGGAUCCGCGCCGCAUUAGCUAGUUGGUAAGGUAACGGCUUACCAAGGCAACGAUGCGUAGCCGACCUGAGAGGGUGGUCGGCCACACUGGAACUGAGACACGGUCCAGACUCCUACGGGAGGCAGCAGUAGGGAAUCUUCCGCAAUGGGCGAAAGCCUGACGGAGCAACGCCGCGUGAGUGAUGAAGGUCUUCGGAUCGUAAAACUCUGUUAUUAGGGAAGAACAAAUGUGUAAGUAACUAUGCACGUCUUGACGGUACCUAAUCAGAAAGCCACGGCUAACUACGUG
Molecule: ribosomal RNA, 497 nt
Filed under: uncultured bacterium
Lineage: Bacteria
Description: partial 16S ribosomal RNA
Rfam family: Bacterial small subunit ribosomal RNA
Source: RNAcentral